This 486-nucleotide ribosomal RNA is filed under the name uncultured bacterium. Its description in RNAcentral is "SSU rRNA". It matches the Rfam family "Bacterial small subunit ribosomal RNA", at positions 26 to 523 of the family's 1533-position model. The record is from RNAcentral.
AGGACGAACGCUGGCGGCGUGCCUAACACAUGCAAGUCGAACGAGGUCCAUCCGGUAGCAAUACCGGAGAAGAUCAAGUGGCGAACGGGUGAGUAGCACGUGAGCAACCUGCCCCGAAGACCGGGACAACACCGGGAAACCGGUGCUAAUACCGGAUAUCCCCACCGAGUCGCAUGGCUUGGUGAGGAAAUGGAUUCCGCUUCGGGAGGGGCUCGCGGCCUAUCAGCUAGUUGGUGAGGUAACGGCUCACCAAGGCUUCGACGGGUAGCUGGUCUGAGAGGACGAUCAGCCACACUGGGACUGAGACACGGCCCAGACUCCUACGGGAGGCAGCAGUGGGGAAUCUUGCACAAUGGGCGAAAGCCUGAUGCAGCAACGCCGCGUGAGGGCGAAGGCUUUCUGAGUUGUAAACCUCUUUCAGCAGGGACGAUUGUGACGGUACCUGCAGAAGAAGCCCCGGCAACUACGUGCCAGCAGCCGCGGUAA